Long non-coding RNA from Arabidopsis thaliana (thale cress), 501 nucleotides. RefSeq annotates it as other RNA. The record is from RefSeq. The transcript has a single exon. NCBI's taxonomy places the organism in Eukaryota, Viridiplantae, Streptophyta, Magnoliopsida, Brassicales, Brassicaceae.
GAUCUCCUGUUACUAUCUGGUUAAUUCCCUCCAUAGCUCCAGUCGCCGAGAACGACCAACAUGCCCCUAUAAAUAAUCAUCAUCAACUCAAAUAAUCAACUAUGGAUUCAUCUGAGAACAAAUUUACUAUUUCUGAGACCAAAUUCCUACAUUGCCUACUCUAUGAAACAAUAACUUUCAUAAAAGAUACAAUGAUAAUUGCUUCUAGACUUUCCUAAAAAGUUCAAUCACUAUAUUACUCGCAUACUUUCUCUUAUUAUACUCCUAAAAAGGACAAAAAGAGAUGCAAAAUUAGAUUAGUGUGACAAACUACGUCAUGAUUGGUCUUCUUGUAGCAUACGUACUAAAUAACCACAGAAGAUGAAUCUGCACCAUCAAAGAUUCUAAAGUUUAAGACUUUCUCCGAUCUAAAUCCAAUCUUAAAGUUCUUGAAUCACAUCCUAAGUCGCUGAACUAUAAACUCCAAUCAAAUCUGAAAUUUUGAUGAAGAAGAAAGUUAAA